Molecule: ribosomal RNA, 450 nt
Filed under: uncultured Glomeromycotina
Lineage: Eukaryota; Fungi; Glomeromycota
Description: SSU rRNA
Rfam family: Eukaryotic small subunit ribosomal RNA
Source: RNAcentral
AGCAGCCGCGGUAAUUCCAGCUCCAAUAGCGUAUAUUAAAGUUGUUGCAGUUAAAAAGCUCGUAGUUGAAUUUCGGGAUCAGUACGCUGGUCGUGCCUUCGGUAUGCACUGGUGUCACUGGUUCCUCCCUUCUGAAGAACUGUCAUGCCAUUCAGUUGGUGUGGCGGGGAAUCAGGACUGUUACUUUGAAAAAUUAGAGUGUUUAAAGCAGGCUCGCGCUUGAAUACAUUAGCAUGGAAUAAUGAAAUAGGACGUUUGAUCCUAUUUUGUUGGUUUUUAGGAUCGACGUAAUGAUUAAUAGGGAUAGUUGGGGGCAUUAGUAUUCAAUUGUCAGAGGUGAAAUUCUUGGAUUUAUUGAAGACUAACUACUGCGAAAGCAUUUGCCAAGGAUGUUUUCAUUAAUCAAGAACGAAAGUUAGGGGAUCGAAGACGAUCAGAUACCGUCGUAGU